UGGAACAAUCCAGGGCAGCCUUGCAGAUGGAGCCAGGUAAUAACAGGAGAGUUCACAAAGAGAUGAAGCUUCUCACCAGGCCCAGAAGGUUGAGGAAGAGGUCAUGAUAGCCCUGACUUGAGUCUGGCUACUGAGUAUCGGAACUAAAGGCACCUGACCUUUCUUCAUCCACCCGUCUUCCUGUCCCAAAUAACAAUCCACUCCCAGAGUACUUGAUGCCAGCUAAGUGCUUACCUAAUUAAAAUCACCCCACUCCAGAGAAUA
Grammomys surdaster is the source of this 264-nucleotide long non-coding RNA. RefSeq lists it as uncharacterized. The transcript has 2 exons. NCBI's taxonomy places the organism in Eukaryota, Metazoa, Chordata, Mammalia, Rodentia, Muridae. The record is from RefSeq and is a predicted model, not a curated record.